Lagopus leucura (white-tailed ptarmigan) is the source of this 3997-nucleotide long non-coding RNA. RefSeq lists it as uncharacterized. Lineage: Eukaryota; Metazoa; Chordata; Aves; Galliformes; Phasianidae. The record is from RefSeq and is a predicted model, not a curated record. The transcript is spliced from 2 exons.
UCUCUGGAGGUCCCUUCCAACCCCUACAGUUCUGUGAUUCUGUGAUUAUGUGCGUCGCACAGCGUUUGCAUUUGGCCUUCAGUUCUGUCCGCCUGCGGUGCAGCUUUCUGCCAGUGCUGUGUGCAGCCGUGCUCUUGGUGCUCUCAGAGUGAUGCCCUUCGCCGACCCUCUGCCCCACCAUGCAGGUGCAGCCCGGCGCUGUGUGGGUCGCAGAGCCAUCCUGGGGCCAUCCGUGUGCCACCAGCAGGACAGGAGGCACCUCGGGGCCUGGCUGCCGCAGCAGGAACCUCCGCAGGCUGCAGCGGCGUUCGAGGGGCCCGUAAUGCUUUGCAGACCCAUUUUCUCUCUGUUAUUGUUUCAAACUCCCCGUUAGCCGUUCCCGCUUCCCAGGUUUCCGUGUGUUUCAAAUUAUUUUCCCCAGAGGCAUCGGCAGCAUUUUUCCAAAUUGAAUCUCAUUUAUUUUCUACCCAGGUUUCCAAUCUCUCUGGGGCCCUUUGUAUUAUUUCGCAGUCCGCACUGCCACGUACAAUAUAUCCCAAUUUAGUGUCGUCUGUGAAUUAUAUUAACGUGCCCUUUAGUUCCUCCUGUAUGUAAUGAAGAUAUUUCCAGCAUUAAAAAAAAAAAAAAAAAAAACCUCUCCAAAAUAUGUUUUAUUAAAACACAAAGGUAGAGACUUAAAAACUCCUCCUUGGGUUCCCAACGUGAAUUGUGCUGGGAAAAAAAAAAAAAAUAAUGAAAUCUUCGACAUAUUUUUUUUUAAGGAGAAAUUAAAACCUUCAAAACGUGCAAGUUGGGGGUAUGGCAGUAAUUGGUGUCACAGUGAGCGCUGUGCAGUGAGCCUGCAUGCUGCGGCCCCUGGGGGUGAUGGAGGCAUCGCCUGUGUUUCUGCAGCACCGCUGCCUUGAGCCCAUGGUUGAAUUUCUCCAUACGUUUGCUCGCUUUCCCUCCAUGACCUCUUUGGGUUUCUUUUCUGUGGCUGCUCCAGCAAGCAUGUACACUGGCAGGAGUGAUGCUGAAGCAGCAUGUUUUAAUGCAAACGGUGCCGGCUUAUUCAUAGGAAGCGACUUUCAAAUUCAUGAUCAUGAAUAUUUGCACGGUAAGGCUGAUUCUGUUGUGAGCUUUUAUUUAUAAGCUGAGCAGCAGUGCCUGGUGGUGCCUCUGUGUCAGGGAGUGUCCUAGCAGAGCAGCUCCGGUUUCCAACUGUGAAGGGAGAGCAGUGCUGGCAGCAGGCAAUUUGCUGGGGAUGCGUGUGCUGAAGUAUUCGCUGCAUAAUUUCUAGCAAGGAGAAAUUUCGUGGAGGCUAUGAUCUGCUUGUGAACAGAAAUAAGGUGUGAAUGGGAUCUGUAAAUUGUUCUCUGCAAAUGGUUUGCGAGCUCAAGAGGACUUUUUGAGAAGCACUGCCGUCUUUCCUCUGUGUGCUGAUGCUCAGCUCGUGGGUGCAAAUGGAUGCUGGGGAGAGCUGCCCCAAGUGUCUUUCUUCCAGCACAUGCUGACUGCUGGCCCCCAAACUGAGGGCUUCACCGCCUGUGUCUCUCUGUCCCCCUUCUGUCAGUAUAGCCAUCUUUCAGCAUCACAACAUGAGCCUUUUCCCCUCCCUUGGGCUGUGGCAUGGGGCUGUGCCAGGGACAUCCCUACUGUCUCUCAGGGUGGGUUGGUGACACUGCAGGUGCUGCUGUGCUGGUGUGCAGCAGCUGUAGGAAAUUAGAGGAGCCAUGGAGCUGUUUUGGGAAACACCAGGGGAGAUGCCUGAGGUUUCCAGACCACAGUCUCCCACAGGCACGGGGUCCAGCAGGAGUGAUGCCACUGGGAAUACUGGGAGCAGUGAUGGGCUCGGUGCUCAGAAACUGCCAGGUAGGUCCUCACUUGUUGCUGCCUGAUGGCCGGGUUGGUGGCAGGGCUGUGGGGCAUUGCUUACUCCUAUGCCAGAGAUGCAGCAUAGCUGCUGCAAUGCCUCGCAGGUUUUCUGAAGCACUAAAGAUGAAGGCUUGCCCUCUUCAGCAUUACUUUGUGGAAAGCUGAGGCCUUCAGGACUUGCUCUGUUUCUGGCUUGUGCCCACAGAAAGGUGCCUGGCUUGUAGAAUACUUGCUCCUCCUAUGAACGGGGGCACAGUUCCCUUUGGUUUCACCUGAGCAGAUGAGAGCCUGAUUGCUCGUCCCCAGAUGCUGCUUCCCAUCUUUCAUGGAACUAAAACCUUCCAGAAAGAGUGUCUAAAAGCCAUGUCACGUGAAGCGGUAAUGUUUGCACUGGGACUCAUACAUUAGCACAGGCAGAUGUGCAAAAAGCUGGGCCCAACAAUCAGCUUAGCAAUCUCAGGUCUGAUGAAGCUGUGCUUCAUUUGUUCUACCUGAAGGCUGGAUCCACUUCUUGCCACCCAAACCACCUUUCCUUUAGGUCUUUGUCGUGAAGACUCCAACUGUGGAGGUAUUGUGUCCUGUGCCCCAUGGGCCUGCCUGCAGCCACCCAAGCAUGGGGUGAAUUCCCUGUGCUGCUUUAGCUUGUCCCCCGUUUUGAAGCAGCCCCAGCCCUGGGGGCUCUGUGGGGAGAUGUCUCCCUAUGAGAUGCACGGCCUGCAAUCACCACAAGCUGUGGGAAACCACUGGUGUCCUCUGCCCGGUGUGGGUCAGGCCCAUCCUCAGCUGUCCCCCGGGGACAGAUCUGGAGCUGCGUUGUUCUGCACCGUGGGCCAAAUACUGCGUUUUCUGACCCAACGUCCUUCCUCCCCUUUAUCAGUAAUUUUAAUCAUUUUAAUAACGUCCCCUCGCACGGAUAGGAUUACAAUUAGGGAAAGUCAGAGCCUUGUUAUCAUCUAAUUAGAGUCACAUUUCAGCCAAAGAGAAAGGCAGAUCUUCAGGCACUGCUUUGUGCAGUGCAAUGGGAAGAACGCGGUGAUGCAAACCAGCUGCAGGCCGGGCACUGGGUGCCACUUGCAGCCCUCUGAAGCCAUGGGUGCAAAGUGCUCCUGGGCGGCUCUGGCACGGCAAAGAGCUGUGGUGUGUUCCAUCACGAACAGUGCCACUGUCCGGCCCCAGCAGCCAAGGGAGUCAGUGAAGCAACACAACCCAAACCAAAAUAAACACCGCUAUGCGCUGCCAGAAUGCCUUUAUUGUUCUGUGGGGGAAGAGGGAGACAUUUUGGGGCUGGGAGGCAGAGCCAUUCCCCUCCAUGAGCUGCGAUGGGCAGAAAUGGAGGAGGAGGAGGAGGAGAAGGAGGAGGAGGGCUGGGCUUCUUUUUUUCCCAGAUCAGUGUAAUCCAAAUGCUUUCCAGAGCUGGGAGAAAGAGAGCAGGGUUUCUUUAAUGGAAAUGAAAACCAUCUCUGAUUUCCUUUUAAAGCGCGCUAAAACGUUUCAUUCGACCUGAUGCGAAGCGUUGCGUUUCAUUUUGAGUUUUAAUUAAUUUUGUGAUCCUUUCAUUAAGCUAAUUUCAAAGGAGAAAUGUUUCUCUUAAAACUGGAAGUCAGAACAUUUUGAAGAUCAUCUCUGCCUCUAAAAUGCCGCUUUAAAGCAUCGACUGCUUUGCUCUCUGUCUAGAAACCCAGGUUAACUCCCGCCUUUGCAGAGUCUCCAAGUGCUUUGGGAGUUAGAACUAAAGAAAGGGCCACGUUCCUCACCGAGUGAGUGCUGCUGCCUGUGAUCCUGGGAGGAAAGGAGACGGUCUCACCUCAGCCAUCCCUGCUGCUGGAAGCACUCGAGUGCUGGGAGGCAGAGAGGCAGCCCCAGAUGGUCAAGAUGCCACUGAGACAGCUGGGAAGUAAAUAACUUCUUAGCACAGCCGACCACCGGCCUCUCCAAUGGCUGCAGUGCCUGUGCCAGUUGGGGAUGCACACGGAGCUGCACGGGUAAUGGCAACAGCACAGCCCCUCUGCAAGUGAUGGAGGCACGGGGUGAGGCUCAGCUCCUGCGCAGCGCCGCUCUCUUCCAUCACGAGUUCAAACCGAAAGGUUAAAAGCGUCUAAUUAUGCUGAUGCUUUCCCCCCUGGAUUAAACAAGAGGAUAAAUA